ACCGGCGACCAAAGAGGAGGGGCAACACCCGUACCCAUUCCGAACACGGAAGUUAAGUCCUCCAUCGAUCUGUGUCGUACUGCCUUGCGGCGGGAUUCACAGGACGUUGCCGGAC
Molecule: ribosomal RNA, 115 nt
Filed under: Nanohaloarchaea archaeon SG9
Lineage: Archaea; Methanobacteriati; Methanobacteriota; Candidatus Nanohaloarchaea
Also listed under: 1 other name
Source: RNAcentral